AGGGGAAAAAAUUAAUAAAGUAAGAGAAUAAUAAAAGAAAUUUUAAUAUUAUAAUUUAAUGGGGGUUAAAGUAUAAUAAAUAGAAAAAAUUUUUAAUUUUAUAAUGAAAUAGUAAUGUAAAAUAAAUUUGAAAUAAGUGAAAAUAAAAUUUUAUAAAAGUAAUUUUAAUUUAAUGUAUCUUGUGUAUCAGAGUUUAUUAAAAAUAAAUUUUUAAAAAAAAUAUUCUCGAAUUUUAAAGAGAAAAUUAAUUAAGAAAGUUAUUGUGUCAAAAAUAUUUUUAAUAAUUAAUUGGAAAUGAAAUGUUAAUCGUUUUAAAAGAUAUCUAGUUUUUUUAGAAAAAAAUUUAAUUUUUAGUUUAUUUAAAAUAGAAAUAAUUAAGAAUUUCUUUUUUUAUAUAAAUUUAAUAAUUUAAGGGAUAAGCUUUAAAUUAAAAAAUUAUAAUUAAUUUUUAAAAAUAUAAAAAUUUUUAAAAUUUAUAUUGUUUAAAAAAUUUAGUUUUUUAUAAAUAAUUUUUAAAAUAAGAAAAAUUUUAAUUUAAUUUAAUUUUUUAUAAAAAAAUAAAAUUUAAUAAAAUAAUUAAAGAAAAAAUGAUAAAAUUAGUAUAUAAUAAAAAAAGUAGUAAAAUUAAAGUAAAUAAAAUAAAAGGAAUUCGGCAAAAAUAAAUAUUCACUUGUUUAUUAAAAACAUGUCUUUUUGAUAAUAAUUUAAAGUCUAAUCUGCCCACUGAUAUAAAUUAAAGGGCUGCAGUAUUUUGACUGUACAAAGGUAGCAUAAUCAUUAGUCUCUUAAUUGGUGACUUGUAUGAAGGAUUGGAUGAAAUAUUAACUGUCUUUUAUUUUUAUAUAGAAUUUAAUUUUUAUAUUAAAAAGUUUAAAUAUAUUUAAAAGACGAGAAGACCCUAUAGAGUUUUAUAAAUAUAUUAAUUUUUUUUUUUAUAUAAAAUUAGAAAAAAAAAAUUAAUAUAUUUAUUUUGUUGGGGUGAUAAAAAAAUUUAUUUAACUUUUUUAAAAAAAAAUAAACAUAAAUAGGUGAAUUUAAUGAUCCAAAAUUUUUGAUUAAAAGAAAAAAUUACCUUAGGGAUAACAGCGUAAUUUUUUUUUUUAGUACAAAUAAAAAUAAAAGUUUGCGACCUCGAUGUUGGAUUAAGAUAAAAUUUAAAUGCAAAAGUUUAAAAUUUUUGAUCUGUUCGAUCAUUAAAAUCUUACAUGAUCUGAGUUUAAACCGGUGUGAGCCAGGUUGGUUUCUAUCUUUAGAAAAAUAAAAUAUUUUAGUACGAAAGGAUCAAAUAUUUAAAAUAAUUUUAAAAAAAAAGAAUAUUAUUAAUAAAAUUAUAUAUUUAA
RNAcentral lists this ribosomal RNA (1340 nucleotides) under Periacma orthiodes. RNAcentral's name for it is "16S ribosomal RNA". The stretch from base 1079 to 1238 matches the Rfam family "Eukaryotic large subunit ribosomal RNA", at positions 2825 to 2984 of the family's 3401-position model. The record is from RNAcentral. Lineage: Eukaryota; Metazoa; Arthropoda; Insecta; Lepidoptera; Noctuidae.